CGGCGCGUCCCAGCGCCCCGCGACAUGGCGCGACAGUCGCCGGCAACAAGCGGCACGCAGGGAACCCGAGCGGCCGGCCCGGCAGCCUCCCCGCCACCCCAUCCUGCUCCCCCCGGCCUCCCUCACCGCCGGGACAGGUUUCCCUCCGGCUGGCCGGUGCUGCCAGGAGCCAUUCCUGGCCCCAGCUGCCCAAACGUGAUGGUCAAACACGGUUUAGAGAGGACCUCAAACUCCCUCACAUACUCUCCACGUGUGCUGUUUGUGGAGACUUCUCAAGGCAGUUCACAUAGAAAACAACCCAGCUCUUACCAGGCCCCUGAUACCCAACUAUCAAGUACUUUUUCAGUCUCAGGUUUCACUACAGAAACUUAAAUAAGCAAAAACUUGUAAACUCACAUCCUGCAGAUGGCCUAUUUUGUAAACUAGAAGCAUCUUUACACUGGUCCUUUUGAAACUAAAGUUUCUGAAAUGCAGCCAGCUCCUUUUAGCUCAUUUCCAGUUCUGCUUGUCCUGCAUUGAAUUAACUGAUACUUGCACAUCCCUUCUGCUCUGUCCCGGGAUGUACUGGGCAGCCAUGCACAGUCUGCCUGUGUUUGAGGCAAGAGGUAUCUGGUGAAAACUCCCUCCUGACUGGGCUAAUGUUACUUUUUGCAUCCAUUCUGAAGCAAGUUGGCUUUGGGUUUAUAUGAACCUGCCCAGAAAGAUGUGCACGGUGCCGACAGCAACUGCAGAAGGUGUUUGGGGUAUGUGUGUGCUACUUCUUAGCUAUGAGUGAGGGUUUGAUGCAAAACAUGAGCACUUCAGAUCCCCCUUCUCGUUUUGGAUCCAUUAUGCAUCAGGAUGUUUUCAUGAUGGCAUCAAAAUCUUGCACAUCUGUUUCUGUGUUUCUAAUCGUGUCAUCGCUGAAAACGUGUUUUAGUUUAAAACUUUAAAUGAAAUCUGUUCUCCUCCAGCAGUGCUUUCCAGUCCUCACUGUUUCUAGUGAGGCUGCUGAGGCAGUGUGAGCAGGAUGUGGCCUGGAGAAACACGGGGUUUUUUUGUUUGUUUGUUUUGUUUUUUUUCAGGGUCACUUUAUCAUGGUGUUUUCAGAAGCUCAUAAAAAUAGUAUAUGGCUAAAGUAAACUCACCAGGCUUCUCUCAUUAUUCCAAUGUAUUACUAACUUGCAACUUUAAAGUGAGGAAUACUGUUGACUAAUCAAAAUAUUUAUUAAAACUGUUAAUGCAUGGUGAUUCCA
Molecule: long non-coding RNA, 1235 nt
Organism: Columba livia (rock pigeon)
Lineage: Eukaryota; Metazoa; Chordata; Aves; Columbiformes; Columbidae
Exons: 2
Source: RefSeq, a predicted model, not a curated record